GCAGUCGACGACUCUGGUAUUGAUUGGUGCUUGCAUCAUGAUUUACAUUUGAGUGAGUGGCGAACUGGUGAGUAACACGUGGGAAACCUGCCCAGAAGCGGGGGAUAACACCUGGAAACAGAUGCUAAUACCGCAUAACAACUUGGACCGCAUGGUCCGAGUUUGAAAGAUGGCUUCGGCUAUCACUUUUGGAUGGUCCCGCGGCGUAUUAGCUAGAUGGUGGGGUAACGGCUCACCAUGGCAAUGAUACGUAGCCGACCUGAGAGGGUAAUCGGCCACAUUGGGACUGAGACACGGCCCAAACUCCUACGGGAGGCAGCAGUAGGGAAUCUUCCACAAUGGACGAAAGUCUGAUGGAGCAACGCCGCGUGAGUGAAGAAGGGUUUCGGCUCGUAAAACUCUGUUGUUAAAGAAGAACAUAUCUGAGAGUAACUGUUCAGGUAUUGACGGUAUUUAACCAGAAAGCCACGGCUAACUACGUGCCAGCAGCCGCGGUAAUACGUAGGUGGCAAGCGUUGUCCGGAUUUAUUGGGCGUAAAGCGAGCGCAGGCGGUUUUUUAAGUCUGAUGUGAAAGCCUUCGGCUCAACCGAAGAAGUGCAUCGGAAACUGGGAAACUUGAGUGCAGAAGAGGACAGUGGAACUCCAUGUGUAGCGGUGAAAUGCGUAGAUAUAUGGAAGAACACCAGUGGCGAAAGCGGCUGUCUGGUCUGUAACUGACGCUGAGGCUCGAAAGUAUGGGUAGCAAACAGGAUUAGAUACCCUGGUAGUCCAUACCGUAACGAUGAUGCUAAGUGUUGGAGGGUUUCGCCCUUCAGUGCUGCAGCUACGCAUAGCAUUCGCCUGGGGAGUACGCCGCAAGGCUGAAACUCAAAGGGAA
RNAcentral lists this ribosomal RNA (878 nucleotides) under Lactiplantibacillus plantarum. RNAcentral describes it as "bacterial SSU rRNA". It matches the Rfam family "Bacterial small subunit ribosomal RNA", at positions 57 to 910 of the family's 1533-position model. The record is from RNAcentral. Lineage: Bacteria; Bacillati; Bacillota; Bacilli; Lactobacillales; Lactobacillaceae.